UACAGAGGGGGCUAGCGUUAUUCGGAAUUAUUGGGCGUAAAGGGCGCGUGGGCGGCCUUGCAUGUCUUCCGUGAAAUCCCUCGGCUUAACUGAGGACGUGCGGAAGAAACUGCGAGGCUCGAGUCCGGGAGAGGAGGGUGGAAUUCCCAGUGUAGCGGUGAAAUGCGUAGAUAUUGGGAAGAACACCGGUGGCGAAGGCGGCUCACUGGCUCGUAUCUGACGCUCAGGCGCGACAGCGUGGGGAUCAAACAGG
RNAcentral lists this ribosomal RNA (253 nucleotides) under uncultured prokaryote. RNAcentral's name for it is "partial 16S ribosomal RNA". It matches the Rfam family "Bacterial small subunit ribosomal RNA", at positions 524 to 776 of the family's 1533-position model. The record is from RNAcentral.